Molecule: small nuclear RNA, 164 nt
Organism: Polypterus senegalus (gray bichir)
Lineage: Eukaryota; Metazoa; Chordata; Cladistia; Polypteriformes; Polypteridae
Product: U1 spliceosomal RNA
Exons: 1
Source: RefSeq, a predicted model, not a curated record
AUACUUCUCUGGCAGGGGAGAUACCAUGAUCACUAAGGUGGUUUUCCCAGUGCGAGGCUCAUCCAUUGCACUCCGGGUGUGCUGACUCCUGUGACUUCCCCAAAUGUAGGAAGCUCGACUGCAUAAUUUCCGGUAGUGGUGGACGGCGUUCACACUCUCCCCUG